This is a long non-coding RNA of Bombus pyrosoma, 4431 nucleotides long. RefSeq lists it as uncharacterized. The record is from RefSeq and is a predicted model, not a curated record. NCBI's taxonomy places the organism in Eukaryota, Metazoa, Arthropoda, Insecta, Hymenoptera, Apidae. The transcript is spliced from 3 exons.
GAAGGAAAAUACGUCAACGUAAACAAUGGGGCGCACUGCGAUCCUCAAAUCGAACGAUAAAUGGGCAGCAGCGUUCUUGUUCGUUCUUAUAAUGAAGUUAGUUGGCAUACAGACAUAUAAACCAAUCAGCUAUAAAAAUAAAGAGUGCGCUCUACGCCUCACUUUCUUAUAACUAUCGUAAAAUUCAAAAAAUUUUUAUUCAAAUUAAUGCGACAUAACCAGUGAUAAAGAAAACACGCAAGGCAUACGACAGAAUUAACGUUGAACUCAAAGUCGUUAAAAUUGACAUUCUUCCCUUUCUUGUGAAUCUUUCAUAUAAUGUACUGAUAAUAAUAUUUAUAAUAUUUAUAAAAACAGAGAAGGCCUGUGCAUAGGUAUGUAUGUGCUUGUGUCCGAGGUAAUCUGAAAAACUACUUAAAUGAUUUGAUUAUAAUUCUUUCACAUUGAAAAGUACAUUUUCUCCAGCAUAUAAGAUACAUUUUAUUUACUUCUCAGGAAAUCGAGCAAUGAAUAUAGAUAUGACCAAGCAGGCCUCUAUUGCAUGGUUGCGUUUCGCUUGACUGUCAGUUGAUAGUCACUUCCUAGAAAUAUCGCUCGAAUACUAUUUACUAUGAUUUUUAUAACAAAUAAUAGUAAGUCUUAAAUCACGAAACUAAUUGUGGGGAGUAAGCACGAAACAUUCAGUUGGCGCAGUCGAAACGGUCGCACGUUGAAGAGAGAGAGGGAGAGGCAAUGUUGCCACAUGGUUACGACGCUGUGAAGUUGCUUUGCGUUGCACCGAAGGUGCUUUCGAGAUAUCUCGAGUUAUAGCGAUUACCAGAUCGUGCAAUAGUUUCGCUAACGACUGUGAAUAUUUAAAACGGAAAUCGUUCUCUGACCAUUAACAAGUGCGGACCCAACACUAAGAGAUAGUCUCAGUUAUCAUUUUGGGUCAAGGUAACAGAGGAUUUUCAGGUUUAAUAAAGCUGAAGGAAAAGGGGGAAAUUGUUUACGAAAAGACGAUAGAUAGAUGGUAGCCUCAGCUAGAGAAACUAGCGAUAGACACUCCAAGCGACUUACCGACGAUAGAGUUCGAACUUCUCAGACUCGAAAUAGAAAAAUCAGCGCUAAACACUGAACAAAUUAAGAAAUACUGCGCCACUACGCAGUAAGAGUAGAUUAGCAUUCAACCGUUAGGAUCAAGGUAUCAACAAUUAUUUCAUCUGAAUGGUAUUCAAAUAGAAUAUAAAACACCAACCAACGGUUUGACUUUCCCUGUGUUUACUGGGGUCCGUCGAACAAUAUAAAUAAAGAAGGACGGGGACUUAGCAGAGAGAAUAGAAGAGGAUUUCAAGAAGCGAAGGUUGAACAAAAAAGAAGAAAAGCAAGUUAAAAGUUAGAAAGAGAAAGAGAAGAGAGAUUAGAAGCGAAGAGUUUUGAGGAGACACGGAAGAAGACUUAGAAAAUCGAUUCUUGAGUUUUUACGAAUCGAUCGCCUGCCUUCCAAAAUAUUACACCAUUAUAUAAAUAUAUAUAUAUAUAUAUAUAAUUAUAGUAUAUUACAUAUAUAUAUGCAGACCCCAAAAAUUCAGAAAAUCAAUACAUAUCAAUUUCUACCAGUAACAGAACUAAAAAUAUAGUUUAUGCAAAAGUAUUAUAAUUAUUAAGAUAUGUAUAAUUUUAUGUGCCAGACUAGAUUAGCUGCGUAAUAAUGAUACAUGUAUGUGAGUAUGAGUGUGUGAAAGUAUGUGUGUGCGCGGCGUCUCGAAAACAAAUCAAUGUAAACUGUUCAGUCGAUUAACAGUCUGGUAUGGAAGAAGGUGAGACGCAUGCAAGUGUGUAUCGAUGAAUAUCUUUGAAAUCCUUUAUCAAAUAAGUAUAUAACUAUUCUAAUAUAAAUUCUAAGUGUAAAUUUAGUGUUCCAUUAUUUCGACAAUUAAGAUCGAAAAUUCUGAACAAUAACAUCAAAAAAUAAAAAGAGAAAAAUAUUACACUGGACUACCUCAUCUUACACUACACAAAUUUUCUGCUAUUAAAUCAAACUCUAAUAUUAAUUCCACAUAAUAAAAUAUAACUUAAAACAUUACAAUUGCAGAAAUUUUUUAAACAAAUGAAUCUGUGGCGCGACUUUAUGUAACCAAUAAGAAGAAGAAAAAUUGAGCGACAUAACUAUUUUAGUAAUUUUCUUUUAAUUCACCUAUAUAUAAAACACGAAAUUUGAAUGUUCAGUUAUUAAGAAAUCGUAUUAUCUGCAAUAAGUUUUUAACGGAAAUGUAUCAGACACAAGCAUAUUUAAUGUAAACUUUACAUAAAAGUUAAAAUAAAAAGAAAAUGUCAUCUACGAGUGUGCAAGUAUGUAUCCUAGAAAAAUUGUAAUAAAAUUUUCUUAGUACUUGACAUACAUUACGUAAAAUGUAGCAUGAGAAUUGUCUAAAAGGAGGAUAAUUUGUAGGGCAAAGAUAUAAAAAUUAAAUAAAAUAUUGAUAAAUAUAAAAAUUGGAUAAAGUAUUGCGGAGAUAAUAAAAAGGACAAUUUUGUUUGAGUAACCUCUACCUAUUAACAAUAAUUAUCUAAACAUACUUUGGAACUGCAUUGACAUUUUACGUAACACGGUUCUAGAAAACUUUUAUCUUUGAAAUCUCAUGCGCGAACGCCGAAACAUACUGUUCGAUCGAACACACCACAGAUUCGUGACGUGAACUGUGAAAAUUUCCAAUGACCUCGGGAUGUACAUAUGUGAUUAGCGAGUAACAGUAACUCUCAGCGUUAUAUUCCAUGUAGGUGCGGCGCGACGCAAAGUAGAUGGGUGCGGUUUACGUGAGUUAGAUCAGCAUUAACAUAGUAAGCGAUUUUGAAGUUUUGUUUAUCCUUAUAUUCUAAUGAGCAGAACACACGAUAUUUGAAUCAGUUUAAGUUAUAUUUAUUUCAGUUCAAAGCGUAAUCAAUGUGUUAUAUAUGAUAACAUCUUAAAGAUAAAGAAAAUUUUAAUUAAAAUACUCUCAGUACUUUCUAUUUUACCAUAUUAUCAUUGUUAUGAAUAGGCCUCCACAUAUACUUCCUCAAUUUUUAGAAGGGAAAUAGAAACGUCAUUAUUUUACAAAUGUUAGUCUAAAUAUUGAAACACAGCCUGGCAUAUCACUGUUGCUAAACAUCUGAGAGGGUACCAUUCUUGGAAAUCUUAGAGUUAUCAUAUGCAUACAGUAAAUCCCUUGAACCACUCCCACUAUUGAUGCUAUUGAUACUAUUGACACUAUUAACACUAUUGACACUAUAGACUCCCACUGUAGAAUUUCGAUAUUUUCAUUGUAAAUAAGGAACUGAAAAAUUACGCUUUUUAGAUAAAUCGUAAUGAAAAAUGUAAAAAUGUAAGAGAUAGAGAGAGAUAGAGAGAGAAUUACGACUAUAUUUAGCUAUAUGCUGCAUUUUCCUUUUUAAUUGAAAUAUAUUCCUCAUCGAAGAGGGAGAAAAAAGACGCAGACUAUAUAAAAGGAAAGAAGAAGACCUGAAACAUGUAAUAGAAGAAUGUGAAAUAACGGGAGGACCAAAGGACACGGAAAAACACUAAAUGAGAUUGGAGAAGGGCUAACAGAACUAACAGCAAUAACAGAGAAGAGAAGGGCAAUACAAGAUGGGGAGGAACGACAAGAAGGAAGCACAGCAAGGAGGCAAAAGCCCAAAAGUUCCAAUAGUUUUUAGUUAUUAAUUUUUAAUUAGUUUUUAAAGAUAGAAUAAUUAAGGAGUGCAAUAUAAUAGAAUGGACAAGAGGGGAGGUAGAGCGAAAUAGAUAUAAGGGAUGUAAAACCGAAAGUUCGUCUAAAACCGAAAGGCACGGGCUAAGCAACAAUAAAUAAAUAAAAUAAUAUAUUCCUUAACAUAUUUUAAAGUACAUUGUCACCAUUUACGAACCCACAAAUAGUGGCUGAAUGUGGUUUCCGCAAAAAUAUUAAAAUAUAAGGCAAGAAAGAAAAGUGAAGCACGUGACGAAUGCCGGUAUCGUCCCGAAUAAAUAAAAUACAAUAGAAAAAAUAGAAAAAACGGAAAGGUGAAUAGUACAGCAAUGUCAUUAAGUAAGGUAGAGCCAUUGAUAGAUAAAAACUAUCAAGUAACUGUUGAAAGUAGGUACAACCUUGAGAAACCACAAACUCUUUAAGGAACUUAUAGAAAAUGAUAAACCCGCAGAAAAUACUAAGCAAGUUACUCAAGAAAAUAAAAAUUGCCUGGUCUUGGAAAAACAAUGAGGCGUUCGAAAUUAUUAUAAUAAUCGAACAGGUUGAAUUGUGCUUAGGUGAGACGAGCGCAAAAAAGAUGGAACGAUUUAAAAUAUAUUUAUGUGGUUGAAGCUAAAAAUCAAAUAACAGAUAUAAAGUUAGAGCUAAAAGGUAUUACAAAGGAAAGUCCUGAAACUGCAAUGAAAUAUACAGGGUGGUUGGUAACUGGUGGUACAUGCGGAAA